This 627-nucleotide ribosomal RNA is filed under the name uncultured Alphaproteobacteria bacterium. RNAcentral describes it as "bacterial SSU rRNA". It matches the Rfam family "Bacterial small subunit ribosomal RNA", at positions 63 to 739 of the family's 1533-position model. The record is from RNAcentral. Lineage: Bacteria; Pseudomonadati; Pseudomonadota; Alphaproteobacteria.
CGAACGGCUCUUCGGAGCAGUGGCGGACGGGUGAGUAACGCGUGGGAACGUGCCCUUUGGUUCGGAACAACACAGGGAAACUUGUGCUAAUACCGGAUGAGCCCUUCGGGGGAAAGAUUUAUCGCCAUUGGAGCGGCCCGCGUUGGAUUAGGUAGUUGGUGGGGUAAAGGCCCACCAAGCCGACGAUCCAUAGCUGGUCUGAGAGGAUGAUCAGCCACACUGGGACUGAGACACGGCCCAGACUCCUACGGGAGGCAGCAGUGGGGAAUCUUGCGCAAUGGGCGAAAGCCUGACGCAGCCAUGCCGCGUGUAUGAUGAAGGUCUUAGGAUUGUAAAAUACUUUCACCGGGGAAGAUAAUGACGGUACCCGGAGAAGAAGCCCCGGCUAACUUCGUGCCAGCAGCCGCGGUAAUACGAAGGGGGCUAGCGUUGCUCGGAAUUACUGGGCGUAAAGGGCGCGUAGGCGGACAGUUUAGUCAGAGGUGAAAGCCCAGGGCUCAACCUUGGAAUUGCCUUUGAUACUGGCUGUCUUGAGUUCGGGAGAGGUGAGUGGAAUGCCGAGUGUAGAGGUGAAUUCGUAGAUAUUCGGCGGAACACCAGUGGCGAAGGCGACUCACUGGCCCGAUA